UAGGAAGUGGUGUAGUUGGAAGCACUAAGAGUUUUGAUCUCUUUAGUAUAGGUUCAAAUCCUGUUUUUCUAG
This 72-nucleotide transfer RNA is filed under the name Squatina squatina (angelshark). RNAcentral describes it as "tRNA-Gln". It matches the Rfam family "tRNA". Rfam says of the family: Transfer RNA (tRNA) molecules are approximately 80 nucleotides in length. The record is from RNAcentral. Lineage: Eukaryota; Metazoa; Chordata; Chondrichthyes; Squatinidae.